This 678-nucleotide ribosomal RNA is filed under the name Dinophysis acuminata. RNAcentral's name for it is "partial Bacterial small subunit ribosomal RNA". It matches the Rfam family "Bacterial small subunit ribosomal RNA", at positions 1 to 694 of the family's 1533-position model. Lineage: Eukaryota; Dinophyceae; Dinophysales; Dinophysaceae. The record is from RNAcentral.
UUGAAGAGUUUGAUCAUGGCUCAGAUUGAACGCUGGCGGCAGGCUUAACACAUGCAAGUCGAGCGGAAACGAUGGGAGCUUGCUCCCAGGCGUCGAGCGGCGGACGGGUGAGUAACGCGUAGGAAUCUACCCAGUAGCGGGGGAUAGCCAGUGGAAACGCUGAUUAAUACCGCAUACGCCCCACGGGGGAAAGGAGGGGAUCUCUUCGGAGACCUUUCACUAUUGGAGGAGCCUGCGUUGGAUUAGCUAGUUGGUAGGGUAAAGGCCUACCAAGGCGACGAUCCAUAGCUGGUCUGAGAGGAUGAUCAGCCACACUGGGACUGAGACACGGCCCAGACUCCUACGGGAGGCAGCAGUGGGGAAUCUUAGACAAUGGGCGCAAGCCUGAUCUAGCCAUGCCGCGUGAGUGACGAAGGCCUUAGGGUCGUAAAGCUCUUUCGCCAGAGAUGAUAAUGACAGUAUCUGGUAAAGAAACCCCGGCUAACUCCGUGCCAGCAGCCGCGGUAAUACGGAGGGGGUUAGCGUUGUUCGGAAUUACUGGGCGUAAAGCGCACGCAGGCGGUCUGUUAAGCUAGAUGUGAAAGCCCCGCGCUCAACGUGGGAGGGUCAUUUAGAACUGGCAGACUAGAGUCUUGGAGAGGGGAGUGGAAUUCCAGGUGUAGCGGUGAAAUGCGUAGA